GACGAACGCCGGCGGCGUGCUUAACACAUGCAAGUCGAACGGUGAAGCGCCUUCCUUUUUGGUGGGUGUGGAUGAGUGGCGAACGGGUGAGUAACACGUGAGUAACCUGCCCCCUUCUUCUGGAUAACCGCAUGAAAGUGUGGCUAAUACGGGGUAUUCUGGGUCUGUCGCAUGAUGGGUCUGGGAAAGAUAUUGUUUCGGUGGGGGAUGGGCUCGCGGCCUAUCAGCUUGUUGGUGGGGUGAUGGCCUACCAAGGCGGUGACGGGUAGCCGGCCUGAGAGGGUGGACGGUCACACUGGGACUGAGACACGGCCCAGACUCCUACGGGAGGCAGCAGUGGGGAAUAUUGCACAAUGGGCGCAAGCCUGAUGCAGCGACGCCGCGUGAGGGAUGGAGGCCUUCGGGUUGUGAACCUCUUUCGCCAGUGAAGCAGGCCUGCCUCGUUUGUGGGUGGGUUGACGGUAGCUGGAUAAGAAGCGCCGGCUAACUACGUG
This 494-nucleotide ribosomal RNA is filed under the name uncultured bacterium. Its description in RNAcentral is "partial 16S ribosomal RNA". It matches the Rfam family "Bacterial small subunit ribosomal RNA", at positions 28 to 507 of the family's 1533-position model. The record is from RNAcentral.